This 115-nucleotide ribosomal RNA is filed under the name Plesiomonas shigelloides. The record is from RNAcentral. Lineage: Bacteria; Pseudomonadati; Pseudomonadota; Gammaproteobacteria; Enterobacterales; Enterobacteriaceae.
UGGCGGCGAUAGCGCGGUGGUCCCACCUGACCCCAUGCCGAACUCAGAAGUGAAACGCCGUAGCGCCGAUGGUAGUGUGGGGUCUCCCCAUGCGAGAGUAGGGAACUGCUAGGCA